AAAAUCAAAGUGCGUUUUGUAGAUAUCAGCCUUAAGUGUCUGACAAUGCAUAACAUGAUUUCUAGUACUAUUCCGAAGAAAAAAUAAAAAAAUUAGACUUUAUACCUUUACGUAAGAUUUGUUACACCUUUAUUACCUGUUACCUCCCAAAGCCAGUAUGCAUGAUUUAAACUUUAUAGUUGCUGACCGUUUCUCCCCGUGUUGGGACAAUACGCAGAUAAACUUUCAGCUUUUCUAAAAUAACGAAGGUCUGGCACGCGCUGGCUCUCUCUAUAGGCAAUAACAAUUAAAAUAAUUGUCUAAAAUGGCUUAAUUCGCAAUAUUGUAACGCGUUCGCAUAUCACAUUGUAAACAUAGAUAAACACUUAUAGAUACCUAUUUAUGGCUUCAUAAUGAUACAUAAUCCUAGUGAUAAUUGAUAACAACUGUCGGCGUUAUCCUGCUACUGAUAGUUAUCAAUAAUCAUGAACUUGGCCCUCUUACGAACAGUUCCAGGUAAAUAGAACAUUUCUUUAAAACUCAAUGUAUCUAGAACAUAUCUCAUGAAGGGCAAUCUAAUCUAAGAAGGCAUGAAUGAAUAAUUUUUUCAAAGAAUAUUAUAUAGGUAAGUUAGGCCACUAUGUCUAGACAGCGACCAUUUCAGAAAGAAGACGUCUUGUAAGAAAGCUAACAUUACCAAUACAACUAGUCAAAUCAGUACCUUUUUAUCAAACUUCAAAACACGCGAUUAGUAUGCGAGCUUCUAUGAAAUACUGGCCUGUGACGUCACAAUGAUUUGACGUACUUUUUUAGUUUAAUCGAUAAUAUAAAAUGGUUAUUACAUUCAAAAAGGAUGUGGAUUUUACGUAUCAAAAUUCCAGACCCUCUAUUUACCGAGAAGUGCCGAGAAGUAAUUUAUUUUUGACAUAGACAAAUACCGUAACAAAUACUUUCAGUUAAUCAUCAUGAGCAAGCAUUAUACUUCUCACAGGCCGACGUCUAAGCCACUAAGCCACCACCACUAAGCUAUCACUGCUUUGUGUUUUAUGUAUUGGUCUAUUGGAGCCAUAAAGUUCUUUUCCUUGUUGACAUUCAAACAGAGCUCGUAACUGCAAUGUGACG
This is a long non-coding RNA of Maniola jurtina (meadow brown), 1101 nucleotides long. RefSeq lists it as uncharacterized. The record is from RefSeq and is a predicted model, not a curated record. Lineage: Eukaryota; Metazoa; Arthropoda; Insecta; Lepidoptera; Nymphalidae. The transcript is spliced from 5 exons.